Oenanthe melanoleuca is the source of this 2162-nucleotide long non-coding RNA. RefSeq lists it as uncharacterized. NCBI's taxonomy places the organism in Eukaryota, Metazoa, Chordata, Aves, Passeriformes, Muscicapidae. The transcript has 4 exons. The record is from RefSeq and is a predicted model, not a curated record.
UGGAGCUUCCUGACAAGAACAAAUCCCUCCAAAAAUCCAGGAAUUCAGGAUUCCCCAAAUCCUUGGGAUCCAGCUGGGAAUGCUGAGCAUGCACUUUAUGGGGUUUUUAUUUUUCUUUUUCAUUUCAUUUAUUUCUCCCCCUUUUCUCCUGGAAAUCCCAAAUCCUGCAGUUCCCAUCCCAGAAAUGUGGGAUUGAGGAAGCUCAGGGAAGCUUAGAGGGUUUUGGGUUUUUGUUUUGUGGGAUAAUUUGAGAUCCCAAAUCCCUUUUUAGGAUCCCAGAUCCCAUUUUAGGGUUCCUAAAUUUCCUUUUUAGGGUUCCCAAAUCCCUUUUGAGGGAUCCCAAAUCCCAUUUUAGGAUCCCAAAUUACUUUUUUAGGGUUCCUAAAUUUCCUUUUUAGGAUCCCAAAUCCCAUUUUAGAAUCACAAAUCUAUUUUGAGGAAUCCCAAAUCCCUUUUCAGGAUCCCAAAUUUCCUGUUUUAGGAUCUCAAAUCCCAUUUUAGGAUCCAAAAUCCAUUUUCAGGGUUCCUAAAUUUCCUUUUUAGGAUCCCAUAUCUCUUUUUAGGAUCCCAGAUCCCAUUUUAGGAUCCCAAAUCCCCUUUGAGAGAUUCCAAAUCCCUUUUUAGGGUUCCCAAAUAUCCUUUUUAGGAUUCCAAAUUCCUUUUUAGGGUUCCCAAAUCUCUUUAGAGGAUCCCAGAUUUCCUUUUUAGGAUCCCAAAUCCCAUUUCAGGAUCCCAAAUUACUUUUUUAGGGUUCCUAAAUUUCCUUUUUAGGAUCCCAAAUCCCCUUUGAGAAAUUCUAAAUCCCUUUUUAGGAUCCCAAAUCUAUUUUGAGGAAUCCCAAAUCCCUUUUCAGGAUCCCAAAUUUCUUGUUUUAGGAUCUCAAAUUCUAUUUUAGGAUCCCAAAUCCAUUUUGAGGGUUCCUAAAUUUCCUUUUUAGGAUCCCAUAUCCCUUUUUAGGAUCCAAAAGCCCAUUUUAGAUUCCCAAAUCCCUUUUGAAGGUUCCCAAAUCCCUUUUUAGGGUUCCCAUAUUUCCUUUUUAGGAUCCCAAAUCCCUUUUUAGGAUCCCAAAUCCCUUCUGAGGGAUCUCAAAUUUCCUUUUUAGGUUCCCAAAUCCCUUUUGAAGGUUCCCAGAUCCCUUUUUGGGGUUCCCAAAUCCCUUUUGAGGAUCCCAAAUCCCUUUUUAGGAUCCCAGAUCCCUUUUGAGGGAUCCCAAAUUUCCUUUUGAGGUUCCCAAAUCCCUUUUUAGGGUUCCCAAAUACCUUUAAAGGAUCCCAGAUUUCCUUUUUAGGAUUCCAAAUCCCAUUCUAGCAUCCCACAUCCCUUCUGGGGGAUCCCAAAUCCCAUUUUAGAAUCCCAAACCUCUUUUGAAGGAUCCCAAAUCCGUUUUUAGGAUCCCAAAUUUCCUUUUUAGGGUCUGAAAUCCUAUUUUCAGCGUUCCCAAAUCCCAUUUUAGAAUCCCAAAUUUCCUUUUUAGCAUUCCCAAAUCCCUUCUGAGGGAUCCCAAAUCCCUUUUUAGUAUCCCUUCUGAGGGAUCCCAAAUUUCCUUUUUAGGUUCCCAAAUCCCUUUUAAAGGUUCCCAAAUCCCUUUUUGGGGUUCCCAAAUCCCUUUUGAGGAUCUCAAAUCCCAUUUUAGGAUCUCAAAUCCCUUUUUAGGAUCCCAAAUCCCUUCUGAGGGAUCCCAAAUUUCCUUUUUAGAAUCUGAAAUUCCUUUUUAGGGUUCACAAAUCCCAUUUUAGGAUCCCAUGUCCCUUUUGAAGGUUCCCAAAUCCCUUUUUGGGAUUCCAAAUCCAAUUUUAGGAUCCCAAAUCCCAUUUUAGGAUCCCAAAUCCCUUUUAAAGGUUCCCAAAUCCUUUCUUAGGAUCCCAAAUCCCAUUUUAGGAUCCCAAAUCCCUUUGGAAGGUUCCCAAAUCCCUUUUUAGGGAUCCCAAACCCCUUUUAAGGAUCUCAAACCCCAUUUUAGGAUCCUAAAUCCCAUUUUAGGAUCCCAAAUCCCUUUUUCCCACCCAGGGAUCUUCCCUGGAUUUUCAGGAGCAUCUGGAUGAAGAUUUGGGAUAAAACCCUUGGAGAAUCCAGGGACCCUUUCCUGUGGAUUUGUAGGAUUUGUGGAUUUCUGGGAAUGCAGCUGAACCCCUGGAAUAAUGGGAAUAAACUCCUGGAUUGAU